This is a long non-coding RNA of Alligator sinensis (Chinese alligator), 396 nucleotides long. RefSeq lists it as uncharacterized. NCBI's taxonomy places the organism in Eukaryota, Metazoa, Chordata, Crocodylia, Alligatoridae. The transcript has 3 exons. The record is from RefSeq and is a predicted model, not a curated record.
GAAGCAAGCAAGCCCAGCCAGAUACACAGCCCACCUGAACCCCUACCCUGGGAGGGAGGGAGCACGCACCUGUGAAUCAGCAGCUAAGGGAGUGUCGUAGUCAACUUCCAGCAGUUGAAGGAUGCACAGCUUCCUCGUGGUCCAUGGCACUUGCUCUCUGAAGGGCAGCUCUUGAGAGGGAGCCUCUCAAAGAAAGGGACCAGCAAAGUGGAAGCAGCCAAACAAACAACUUUUAAAUCGACGACCCUAUGCAGAACCCCUUUGGUCUAAGUGAAAUCUGUAUUUUGUGAUACGCUGCUGCAUCCAAUCCUUUCAAAAAAGUCUUCCAAAAUCAGCUCUCACUUAAUGUACAAAUCUCUCGGGAGAACUUCCAAACAGGAGGAUCAGCUGGAGGUA